This 409-nucleotide ribosomal RNA is filed under the name Fusobacteriota bacterium. RNAcentral's name for it is "Fusobacteria bacterium partial 16S ribosomal RNA". It matches the Rfam family "Bacterial small subunit ribosomal RNA", at positions 355 to 776 of the family's 1533-position model. Lineage: Bacteria; Fusobacteriati; Fusobacteriota. The record is from RNAcentral.
UGGGGAAUAUUGCACAAUGGAGGGAACUCUGAUGCAGCAACGCCGCGUGCGGGAUGACGGCCUUCGGGUUGUAAACCGCUUUCAGCCAUGACGAAGCUUUUGUGACGGUAGUGGUAGAAGAAGCACCGGCUAACUACGUGCCAGAAGCCGCGGUGAUACGUAGGGUGCGAGCGUUGUCCGGAAUUAUUGGGCGUAAAGAGCUUGUAGGCGGUUUGUCGCGUCGAUAGUGUAAACACGCAGCUUAACUGUGUGCCUGCUGUCGAUACGGGCUGACUAGAGGAGGGUAGGGGAGAAUGGAAUUCCCGGUGGAGCGGUGGAAUGCGCAGAUAUCGGGAGGAACACCAGUGGCGAAGGCGGUUCUCUGGACCUUUCCUGACGCUGAGAAGCGAAAGCGUGGGUAGCAAACAGG